Molecule: ribosomal RNA, 253 nt
Filed under: uncultured bacterium
Lineage: Bacteria
Description: partial 16S ribosomal RNA
Rfam family: Bacterial small subunit ribosomal RNA
Source: RNAcentral
UACGUAGGGAGCAAGCGUUGUUCGGAUUUACUGGGCGUAAAGGGCGCGUAGGCGGCGCGGUAAGUCACUUGUGAAAUCUCUGAGCUUAACUCAGAACGGCCAAGUGAUACUGCAGUGCUAGAGUGCAGAAAGGGCAAUCGGAAUUCUUGGUGUAGCGGUGAAAUGCGUAGAUAUCAAGAGGAACACCUGAGGCGAAGGCGGGUUGCUAGGCUGACACUGACGCUGAGGCGCGAAGGCUAGGGGAGCAAACGGG